CCCCGAUUAAAAACCCUCAAACCCCAUGGCCGGCGGUGGGAAACACCCCAAAUGCAUCGCCAGUGAGGCACCGGGAGUCCUCAACCACCGGCGGCCGGCCUGAGACAGCCUUCCCGGCCGCCGGUUUGCCGGCGAUGGGCGAUUUUUUCUCGAUGAGAGAACGUUGGGAGAACUAGCGGUGCAGGCCGGCGCUUUUGUCCCUUAAAUCCAGGCCGGCGGCACCAGAAAAUCUCAAUGAAACCCAGUUCCGCCGCCUGAGAGUAAUACCUCGGAGUCCUAACGGAGGUCCAG
RNAcentral lists this long non-coding RNA (291 nucleotides) under Elaeis guineensis (African oil palm). RNAcentral describes it as "long non-coding RNA (EGUI_LNC030321)". The record is from RNAcentral. Lineage: Eukaryota; Viridiplantae; Streptophyta; Magnoliopsida; Arecales; Arecaceae.